This 414-nucleotide ribosomal RNA is filed under the name uncultured microorganism. Its description in RNAcentral is "bacterial SSU rRNA". It matches the Rfam family "Archaeal small subunit ribosomal RNA", at positions 459 to 872 of the family's 1478-position model. The record is from RNAcentral.
CAGCCGCCGCGGUAAUACCGGCGGCCCGAGUGGCGGCCACUAUUAUUGGGCUUAAAGCGUCCGUAGCCGGGUUGGUUAGUCUCCCGGGAAAUCUGGCCGCUUAACGGUCAGAAUUCCGGGAGAUACUGCCAGCCUAGGGACCGGGAGAGGCCGAGGGGAUUCCCGGAGUAGGGGUGAAAUCCUAUAAUCCCGGGAGGACCACCUGUGGCGAAGGCGCUCGGCUGGAACGGGUCCGACGGUGAGGCACGAAGGCCAGGGGAGCAAACCGGAUUAGAUGCCCGGGUAGUCCUGGCUGUAAACGAUGCGGACUUUGUGUCGGACAAGCUAUGAGCUUGUCCGGUGCCGGAGGGAAACCGUUAAGUCCGCCGCCUGGGGAGUACGGCCGCAAGGCUGAAACUUAAAGGAAUUGGCGGG